CAUAGUUAGUAGAAAUGGACGUAAAUCUGGGUUAACUGAUUAAUUAAGUUAUAUUUAAACUUCAGUUUUUAUUUGAAAAGAAUCAUUUAAACAUGAGCUCUUUAAAUUUUUGUUGGUAUUUAAUUUUGACAGUUAAUAAUGAUUAAAGUUAUAUAAGUUGUUCUGCAGAUGGGUGAUGCGGGUUGCGGUAGUAAAAGUAGAAAAUUUAAUAAUUAAAAUUAGUUAUAGAUUGUUUAAAUAUAAACAUAGAUAAUCAGCCGAUUUUUUAAUUUAACUUUUCGGUAUUAUAAUGUUUAGUCGUUUUUCGAUCAAUAAUUACCGCAAACUAACCUAUCAUAUGUGUGAGUGAGAAAAAUGGCCAGUAAUGUACCUGAAGUAAAUUAUAGCUGUGAAAUUUGCGGUCUGGAAGGGUUAACAGAAGAAGAACUGAGAUCUCACACCAAUACAGAACAUGUUGAAGGCAAAGGUACAUGCCCUUUUUGUCAGUUAACUACAAAACCUUCAAAAUUAUUAGUACAUGUGAAUCAAGCACAUUUAGAUUAUUUAACUCCUGAAUCAGAAAACAACAUUAGUUUUAUCGAUGACACUAGUCCCAGUGAAUGUAAUGGAUUCACAGACUGGAGUUUGCCAUCUAAUUACAGUCAAGAUUUAUCCAGUAAUGGCAAGAAUUCAAAGCAAAAUAUUAACAUUAAUAACAUGAAUUACAACUCAAAGGCUGCCUUCUGCAAUGGGGAAUCUAGUCCAAAUAAUUCCAGCCAUGGGGAGGGAUCACCACUCCGUUCCAGUCUUAAUCUUAAAUUGAAGAGUACUGCCCCAACCCUGCAAUGUCCUAUGUGUCAGUAUACAAGCUUAAGUCCUGGAGAGUUAGAGGAACAUAUUAACAGACAACAUUUUGAUGUGACUUCUCCGUCAGUUGGUCAUUUAACAGGAGAAAUAUUUUCAUGUCCUUUGUGCAUUAAAACUUAUGACUCUGCACCUGAUUUAGAGCUUCAUGUGAACAUUGAACAUCGUGAUAUUUUGUCCCCUGCAAGCCCUUCAACAGCCACCUGUCCCGUUUGUGGUAUAUCGUUAAACAACGACAGUGAUAGUGAAGAAGCUGUAAGACAUGUGGAGUCCCACUUUCCAGCUGGUUCUCCUAUUCAGUUAGAUAGGGCUGCUAUUAAAGAACGUGAGCAAAGGGAAUUUGAGAUGUUAAGGGCGCAAUAUGGGAUGGACAAUCAGGGAAAUUUCAGGGAACAGUCUGUGACAAAUAUGCAAAGGGCAGUUUAUGCUGGUGAGAUGAGCGUUGCCGAUUAUUACGAACGAACUCUGGGUUUAAAAGCUGCUGAAAGUUACGGUAUUGAUGAUGGCAGUUCGAUUACGCGAAAUAUGGUUCCAAGAGUCCGAGCAUUAAGUUCAAACGCACAAAAUGUCGUACGCACUCUUACUUGUACAUGUGUAGACCACUAUGCGUCUUCUUAUGGGGAUAGGGGGUGGGGUUGUGGCUACAGGAAUGCACAGAUGUUGAUAUCAAGUCUAUUAACGCACACAGGAUAUAAUGAGAGACUCUACAAACUGUGGCAAGGUCAGAAACCCCCUAGAUCUGCUGUUCCCAGUAUAUCUAGAUUGCAAAAUCUUAUCGAACAAGCUUGGGCCAAUGGUUUUGAUGUACAGGGUUCAGAGCAACUGGGUAGUCGAUUGGUUAACACCAGGAAGUGGAUCGGUGCUACAGAAGUGGUCACUUUGUUAUCGUUUUUAAAAAUACGUUGCCAGUUAGUGGACUUUCACAGACCAACUGGGCCAGGAGGGACUCACCCUGAAUUGUUCCGAUGGGUGCUGCGAUAUUUUGAGAACAGCGUAGGGGGAGAAUUUGUCGCUCCUUUGUAUCUACAACAUCAAGGUCUUCCACCGAUUUCAUUCUUAUCAACUUAUCUAUGAUUUCAUCUUGUGAUAUAUGGAUACCUAGUCUAGGGAUAUGUCAUUGUCUUCGGUCUUCGACUUGUCUAUGGGCUUCCAAAAGACGACGUACCAUCGUUUCUGCUGUCGUUAAACGGAGACUAUUUCUGAAGAGCUUGCUGCGAGAUAAAUCCUUGGAUUAGAUGGACCUUGCUACUUAGAGAUGUAACAUUUCUGGUAGUCAGUUUAAUUUGUUAAUUUCAAGAAUGCACCUAAUGAGCUGGUCGCAAAAUUCAUAGGACUCAAGAUGUUAAUAAUGGUUCCAUUAAAACUUUAUCAAUGAAU
Molecule: unclassified non-coding RNA, 2220 nt
Filed under: Agrilus planipennis (emerald ash borer)
Lineage: Eukaryota; Metazoa; Arthropoda; Insecta; Coleoptera; Buprestidae
Description: ubiquitin carboxyl-terminal hydrolase ZUFSP, transcript variant X3
Source: RNAcentral